Gossypium arboreum is the source of this 448-nucleotide long non-coding RNA. RefSeq lists it as uncharacterized. The record is from RefSeq and is a predicted model, not a curated record. The transcript is spliced from 3 exons. NCBI's taxonomy places the organism in Eukaryota, Viridiplantae, Streptophyta, Magnoliopsida, Malvales, Malvaceae.
GCUCCCGAGAGCAAUGGUGGCACUGUCAGGAGAUAUGCAGCUAUGCAGUCAUCCCCUGAGACUACAAAACUGUCCUCAAUUUUAGUGUUUGUGCAUGAAUCUGGAAAAUAAAAAGGUAUUAGUGUUGAAUUUACCUGUAAUGACGACAUCCGUGAGGUUGGUGCCAAAAAUAAGACUGCUGAACCUUCCAGUAGGGGCGUCUCUUCCCCUCCCGUAAGAUGGCAGAACAGGAAGAUGAGGCCACUCUGAUUCAUCCUGUUUGUGUUUUUUCCAAAGAUUUAGUUUAACGUUAACCUCCAACAAUAUUAAUGGUACAUUCUGGUUCUAAUGUAUUCGAUAGUUGGUCAAAAAGUUAGUUCCCCCACUCCACACUUUUGUUUACAAUGUUAGGUAACAAUUGCUUAUAUUUUUUGGAAUAAAAGCUCGGUCUAGGUUUUUGUUGGUCAAA